RNAcentral lists this long non-coding RNA (579 nucleotides) under Equus caballus (horse). RNAcentral describes it as "lncRNA (ENSECAG00000027791.3)". The record is from RNAcentral. Lineage: Eukaryota; Metazoa; Chordata; Mammalia; Perissodactyla; Equidae.
CGCCACCCCGAGUCCCGAUGGAGACCCCGAGUCCCGAUGGAGACCCCGGGAGAUGCGCCCUCGGGGCUCCUCUGCCCAUGGGGUCACUGCAGAGCGUGUGCCUGGAGCUGAGUCUGCGCUCGUGUCCACCUGUGGUUUCUGGCGGUUUGGUGGCGCUGGGGCACCUCUGGGUGAUGAUUGAAGAUCUCACAUCUUUCCUCGCUGCAUCUUGCACGGGCCGGAGUAGAGCAAAUUACCUUGGCGAAAUAUGUCCUUCCCAACCGUUAACACUUUGGGAAAGAGAGUAAAGCGACAGAUCGGAGCAGAAUAUUUUGAAGAUCGUCCAGAAAUAGUGUGCUACUGGCUAACCUGUUAUGUAGAUCCAGGAGUGUCCGGGUGUUGGCACCGUCUUCCUUCAAUAGCAAAUGAUUUCGGGUGAGGACUCCCCCUGAUGAAGGCCCCGGAGCUGCCCUGGGACAGUGAUGCCAGGAGAGGAGAGCAAGGCGGUGGGAGGGCUGGCAUUGGAAGAAUCGGGGCUUGUCUAUGGGAAUGGGGGGGAUGCGUCAAUCCUACUGCUGGUUACUUUGAAAAUAAAGUGGC